Molecule: small nucleolar RNA, 99 nt
Organism: Papaver somniferum (opium poppy)
Lineage: Eukaryota; Viridiplantae; Streptophyta; Magnoliopsida; Ranunculales; Papaveraceae
Product: small nucleolar RNA R64/Z200 family
Exons: 1
Source: RefSeq, a predicted model, not a curated record
UUUUUUUAAUAAAAGUCUUUAUGAUUACUUCACAUGUCAGACUUCAGAGGUUUUGGAAACAAGAUAUAUGAGAAGACAUUUCAUUAUUCUGAGCAGAUA